RNAcentral lists this ribosomal RNA (465 nucleotides) under uncultured bacterium. RNAcentral describes it as "partial 16S ribosomal RNA". It matches the Rfam family "Bacterial small subunit ribosomal RNA", at positions 28 to 507 of the family's 1533-position model. The record is from RNAcentral.
GACGAACGCUGGCGGCGUGCUUAACACAUGCAAGUCGAACGGAGAUGCCCCUUUGGGGUUUCUCGAGUGGCGAACGGGUGAUUAACACGUCAGUAACCUGCCCUGGACUUCGUGAUAACUUCAGUAAACUGGGGCUAAUACCGGAUAGCACUCCUUGCUGCAUGGUGGGGGUUGGAAAGCUGCGGCGGUUUUGGAUGGACUCGCGGCUUAUCAGCUUGGUGGUUGGGUAGUGGCUUACCAAGGCUUUGACGGGUAGCCGGCCCGGGAGGGCGACCGGCCACAGUGGGACUGAGAUACGGCACAGACUCCUACGGGAGGCAGCAGUGGGGAACAUUGCACAAUGGGCGGAAGCCUGAUGCAGCAACGCCGCGUGCGGGAGGACGGACUUCGGGUUGUAAGCCGCUUUCAGCAGGGGCGAAGCUUGUGGUGACGGUACCUGCAGAAGAAGCACCGGCUAACUACGUG